This 497-nucleotide ribosomal RNA is filed under the name uncultured bacterium. RNAcentral describes it as "partial 16S ribosomal RNA". It matches the Rfam family "Bacterial small subunit ribosomal RNA", at positions 28 to 507 of the family's 1533-position model. The record is from RNAcentral.
GAUGAACGCUGGCGGCGUGCCUAAUACAUGCAAGUCGAGCGAACAGACAAGGAGCUUGCUCCUCUGACGUUAGCGGCGGACGGGUGAGUAACACGUGGAUAACCUACCUAUAAGACUGGGAUAACUUCGGGAAACCGGAGCUAAUACCGGAUAAUAUAUUGAACCGCAUGGUUCAAUAGUGAAAGACGGUUUUGCUGUCACUUAUAGAGGGAUCCGCGCCGCAUUAGCUAGUUGGUAAGGUAACGGCUUACCAAGGCAACGAUGCGUAGCCGACCUGAGAGGGUGAUCGGCCACACUGGAACUGAGACACGGUCCAGACUCCUACGGGAGGCAGCAGUAGGGAAUCUUCCGCAAUGGGCGAAAGCCUGACGGAGCAACGCCGCGUGAGUGAUGAAGGUCUUCGGAUCGUAAAACUCUGUUAUUAGGGAAGAACAAAUGUGUAAGUAACUAUGCACGUCUUGACGGUACCUAAUCAGAAAGCCACGGCUAACUACGUG